This 234-nucleotide ribosomal RNA is filed under the name uncultured bacterium. RNAcentral's name for it is "partial 16S ribosomal RNA". It matches the Rfam family "Bacterial small subunit ribosomal RNA", at positions 119 to 353 of the family's 1533-position model. The record is from RNAcentral.
CGGAACGUGUCCUGUUGUGGGGGAGUAACUGAUCGAAAGAUCAGCUAAUACCGCAUGAGACCUGAGGGUGAAANCGGGGGAUCGCAAGACCUCGCGCGACAGGAGCGGCCGAUGUCUGAUUAGCUAGUUGGUGAGAUAAAAGCUUACCAAGGCGACGAUCAGUAGCUGGUCUGAGAGGAUGAUCAGCCACAUUGGGACUGAGACACGGCCCAGACUCCUACGGGAGGCAGCAUG